RNAcentral lists this ribosomal RNA (429 nucleotides) under Acidobacteriota bacterium. RNAcentral describes it as "Acidobacteria bacterium partial 16S ribosomal RNA". It matches the Rfam family "Bacterial small subunit ribosomal RNA", at positions 355 to 776 of the family's 1533-position model. The record is from RNAcentral. Lineage: Bacteria; Pseudomonadati; Acidobacteriota.
UGGGGAAUUUUGGACAAUGGGGGAAACCCUGAUCCAGCCAUCCCGCGUGUGCGAUGAAGGCCUUCGGGUUGUAAAGCACUUUUGGCAGGAAAGAAACGUCAUGGGUUAAUACCCCGUGAAACUGACGGUACCUGCAGAAUAAGCACCGGCUAACUACGUGCCAGCAGCCGCGGUAAUACGUAGGGUGCAAGCGUUAAUCGGAAUUACUGGGCGUAAAGCGUGCGCAGGCGGUUCGGAAAGAAAGAUGUGAAAUCCCAGAGCUCAACUUUGGAACUGCAUUUUUAACUACCGGGCUAGAGUGUGUCAGAGGGAGGUGGUAUUCCGCGUGUAGCAGUGAAAUGCGUAGAUAUGCGGAGGAACACCGAUGGCGAAGGCAGCCUCCUGGGAUAACACUGACGCUCAUGCACGAAAGCGUGGGGAGCAAACAGG